UGCAAUCAAGGAGGUAGAUAUGUAUGUUACAUUGGGGUAAUUACAUUCGGUACUAUUGCCCCUACUAUGGAAUAAUGCUGAUACUUUUAAUCAUUUACCUAACAUUUAUAAUAUUCAAUUUCUCAGUGUUUAAUCAGUUGUGUUGUACAUUUAGGCCUUGCAUUUUAAUGCUAGACUCCCAAUCUGGGCAAGUGAGUGACAGCAUGGAUGUGUUCCAAAACAUUCGAAGUUACUUAACAGAAAUGUGGAAAAACACAAGAAAAACACCCAGGAUAUUUUCUGCAGAGUCCUGAAAUUGAGGGUACCUGAACAGCAAGGAAACACUUCUGAGUGUGGCAUAUUUGUAUUACUCUAUGCAGAGAAAUUUCUGAAGGAUCCUCCCAAAGAACUAAUCAAUGAGCUUGACUGUACAUCCUGGUUUACACUGGCUGAUGCAUUUUCAAGGCGUGCACAGAUCAGGGACAAAAUGCAAAGCAGUUU
Megalobrama amblycephala (Wuchang bream) is the source of this 480-nucleotide long non-coding RNA. RefSeq lists it as uncharacterized. The record is from RefSeq and is a predicted model, not a curated record. Lineage: Eukaryota; Metazoa; Chordata; Actinopteri; Cypriniformes; Xenocyprididae. The transcript is spliced from 3 exons.